CGGAAUGCAUUCUUCCGGUGGCUCCAGACUCUAGCUUGGCCACAAAGGGUGUGGUUCACAUCGAUGUGAUCAUGUUGGCUCACAAUCCAGGUGGGAAAGAGAGAACAGAGAAAGAGUUUGAGGCUCUGGCCAAAGGCUCUGGAUUCCAAGGUUUCCAAGUCCUGUGCUGUGCUUUCAAUACCUACGUCAUGGAAUUUCUCAAAAAGGUUUAAGUUCUUUGGCGUGGAUUCAUAUCAAGUUGCAUUUGGAUUUUGACUUUGAGACUCUGCUUGGGGUGCUACUUACGAAUGUUUUCCCGGAAAAACGUAAAUUUCUUCUAAUGCUUUAUGAAAAGAAUAACGAACAAGUUCAAUGUAUACCGCCUUUAUAAAAUAAUAACAAGUUUCAUAUUGUGGUUCUGGUUCAUAUAUAGUUCUAGCUACGCGUUCUCUUAAGUGCCAACCCUUAUAGGAGAAAUUUGUUGUUGUUUUUCCAUUCUAUUUCUAGCCAUCCAAACAACAUGUUUUUUUACUCUAUUUUCCUCUAUUUAUAUGGUUCAUAUUUAUGUCCCAUUUAUAUCACUCCUAAUUCAAACACAAAAUUAAGAUGUCAUCCAUGUACAGUGCCAUGAUCAAAAUUUCACCGAUUAAUUAUUAAGCAUCAUAGCAUCGACAUCCUUCCACCAAUUGCACAUAUAUUGUACUACUCUGUCAAUCCACCAAUAUAUUGUUAGUGACGCCCAUCCUCAACCUCAGCUUCCUUUGUGUUGCAUCCAGACAAGCCCGUGAGUAAUCAAGUCAAUAGGAAAGUGAAUAAUUAAACUCAUUUCUUACGGUGAUUCAUUUCCAAUAUUGAAGUUUAAUCUUUUUCCAAUAGUCCAUCCAAAUCCCUCUUUAUUGUUGAAAACAUAGGUGAAUUAAUUUAUAUUUCCUCAAAUUGUCCACACAAUAGAAUACCACACCACUUGGAAUCUAGUUACAUUUGAUGCAUCACAAUUAAUAAUUCCUCUAAAUUAAAAAUAAUAAAAAUGCACUUUGUUGAGUGAUAAUUAUAAAAUAUGAACUAAUUUGAUAAUCAAUUUUAGCUAAUAAAUGGGUGUAAUUUAUAUACUUUAUUAUUAUUUUUAAGGAAAUCAUGAAAAAAUUAACAUCUUUGUAAUUUUUUAUUAACAGAAUUCAAAAGAAAAAAAUUUCAAGUGCUUUAUAGCGUCCCACUCAGGCUUAACACGUAACUUAGACUUAACGUGCGAAAAGGCACACAACGAACCUUAAAGUGCGCUUAGCGUGAAAGCUCGCGUUAAGCGCGAAGUCAGCGUGAAAAAGUAAAUUAAGUAUAUAUAAAGAGGAGGAAGUAGAAGGAAAAAAGACACUGAGUAUCAAGACUAUCCAAAGCCUCGGGCCUCUUCCCUAGGGGAAAUCCUUUUUCUUAUUCAUUCCCCUUUUUCUUGACUUGUUCUAUUAGUCUUUUUAACCGUAAAGUCUCUCAUCAUGAGAGACUAAACUCUCUCAAUUGGAGCCGAGUAGCCAAAGUCCCUUAUAAUAUAACUGUUAUUCUUAUUUAUUAAUGUAAUUUUAAUUUCUAUUAUUAUUUUCUUUGAGAUAAAAUAAUUAUGAGUCAGUGUCCCACCACCAAAACUCAAACACUAUCUCCAAACCUUUUUAAAAAUACUUGUAUUAUUAUACAAGCUACUUCCUUAUUACAUCCUAUUCCUAUACCCAUAUUGACAUUGUUUGGUAUAAUUCUUCCACAUGCUAAAUUCGACAAGGUCGAUAUCCGGUUUGGAGACAAUUUCAAACAAAAGAUUGUACCUUUGUGGAGACUCCUUUCAAACAUAAAAAUAGAAUCAGGUGAAAAAUAAAUCAUUAUAACCUUAUAUGUCUUCUCUUAAUAUUUGAUGCAUAAGCAUAACAAAAAGACAUAAACUAUUCAAGUACAAUCUCGAUUGACGUAUGUACGAACGAUCUUUGUGGGGCCAUGGUGGGGUGGUUGGGGGCAGGAAACAAGGAUAGAUGGGUGGGCCAUUAAAUCAUUGCUAAAUAUCUAUGCAUAUAUAACCAGUUCACUUGGCACCUUUGUGGUCACAAGCUCACAGAGCAAAAACAUUCAUUCCAAUAUACAAAAUCUUGAAUCAUGGGUUCAUUAGGUGAGACUCAGAUUACUCCAACCCACGUAUCUGAUGAAGAGGCAAACCUUUUCGCCAUGCAACUAGCCAGUGCCUCAGUACUCCCUAUGGUUCUCAAAUCAGAUCUUGAGCUUGAUCUGUUGGAAAUCAUAGCCUAGGCUGGCCCUGGUGUUCACCUUUCCCCCUCCGACAUUGCUUCUCGGCUCCCAACACACAACCCUGAUGCACCCGUUUUGUUGGACCGCAUAUUGCGCCUCUUGGCUUGCUAUAAUAUCCUCUCUUUUUCUCUUCGCACUCUCCCUCAUGGCAAGGUUGAGAGAGAGAGACUCUAUGGUCUUGCCCCUGUUGCUAAGUACUUGGUCAGGAACGAAGAUGCUGUCUCCAUUGCUGCUCUCAACCUCAUGAACCAGGACAAAGUCCUCAUGGAAAGCUGGUAUCUCACUUUUUCUCACUCAAUCUCUUAUACCAUUUUCUAAGUCCUUCUCUGUUUUACUUGUCCAUCAAUUCCAGAUUCUAAAAUUAGCCAAUAGUAUCAUCUUUGCUUCUAAGUGUGAUAAUAUAUCCAAUUUAUGUCACUUCAAUCUUAAUCUUAAUCUUAAUCUUCUUUAAUGGAUAUUUCUAAUAACAAGUUACUUAAUUCAUAAAUAUUUUAUUUUUUUAUUGUAUUUAAUACAAAAUUAAGUAAUUUAUGAGUAGUAAUUUAUUUAUAUAGAUGACUCUUUUCAAUUUAAAAAAAAUUCAAAAUCACAAUAUGCAACAUCAAAAUAAUAUUUUUUUUAUUAUUAAGUAAUCUAUUAAAUAACUCUCAUCAUAAAUACUCCUUACUAAUAAUUUAUAGUAGGCAUUCCUAUUUUUUAGGAAGAUUGUUUUGUUAUUAAUGAUUAUCAUCUAGAAAAGAAUGAUUAUCCUCUUUUUACUUCUAUGGAGUCUGUUUGGAAGAUAAGAUGAAAACAAUAUUAGAAAUAAAAUUUAAACUUUUUUAGGAAAAUUGACAUUUUUUUAUAUUUUACUUUAAUUUAAAAAGUUACUACUGAAAGACUGAAAGUAAUAUUGACGAUGAUUGUCCGAUGACAUUCUGCCCAAAGUCAGAACUAUGAGAGGUCACGUUUCACUUACCACCAAAUCACCAAUGGCGGCGGAAGCGUGAGUGUGAUUGUGAAAUAGUAGUAUUAUUUUUCUUCAGGCUUUCAAUAUGAGCAGCAGCACAAUUCCAUAUUGGUCCAACAAAUUAUUUUGUCAAGACUCAACAAUUACUCUACACGUGUCUCUAUAUGACGCGAGGAGUUGAACCAACGAAAUGUAUCAACUUCGUCCAAAACAGUAGUAUUAUUUGUAGGGACUUUAUAUAAUAGGUAUAUAUGGCUGAUUAAAUGUAUCAACUUCGUCCAAAAUUACUUUAUGUGAUCUUGACCUGGACUAAACAAUUAAGAAGAGUUUCACCAUGGACGCGAUUAUGUUUAAAUAAUUGAAUUAAACUACUUGAUAAAGAGUUAAAUCAGAGCUUAACACGAUUGUGUUGUUGUAGGUACUAUUUGAAAGAUGCAGUCCUUGACGGGGGCAUUCCAUUUAACAAGGCGUAUGGAAUGACAGCCUUCGAAUACCAAGGAACAGAAUCCAAGGUUUAACAAGGUUUUCAACAAGGGGAUGACUGAUCACUCUACAAUUACAAUGAAGAAAAUUCUUGAGACCUUGUCAGGCUUUGAGAGUCUUAAAUCUCUGGUUGAUGUUGGUGGUGGGACUGGAGCUGUAAUCAACAUGAUUGUCUCAAAGUAUCCCACUAUUAAGGGCAUUAAUUUUGAUUUGUCCCAUGUCAUUGAAGAUGCCCCAUCUUAUCCAGGUAUUUUAAAUUGAAUCAUCACCAUGUCAAGUUUAGAGGUCUUGCUUAUAUUAGAUCCCUUAAGCAUUGUCAAUUUGUCAUAAGUUGUUAUAUGUUGGUUAAUAUUGUUUGACUAAUGGUUACCGAACAUCAAAAUUGGCAUUGAUAUUUUUUAUUAGGAGUGGAGCAUGUUGGUGGAGAUAUGUUUGUCAGUGUUCCAAAAGCUGAUGCUAUUUUUAUGAAGGUGAAUUUUAAAAUCUGAAUCCAUUCCAUUGUCUUACCAACUCUAGAAAUUAAAGGGUCUUUCAAGGUUUUCUUUUCUCAGAAUCAAGUUUUGAGCCGUUACUUUUUGGUACCACGAACUCAUGUUUCACUUGUUUAUGUUAAUGACUUGUGAUAUCAUUUACACAUUCAGUGGAUUUGCCACGAUUGGAGUGAUGAUCACUGCUUGAAGUUCUUGAAGAACUGCUAUGAGGCACUACCAGAUAAUGGGAAAGUGAUUGUGGCGGAAUGCAUUCUUCCGGUGGCUCCAGACUCUAGCUUGGCCACAAAGGGUGUGGUUCACGGCGAUGUGAUCAUGUUGGCUCACCAUCCAGGUGGGAAAGAGAGAACAGAAGAAGAGUUUGAGGCUCUGGCCAAAGGCUCUGGAUUCCAAGGUUUCCUUGUCCUGUGCUGUGCUUUCAAUACCUACGUCAUGGAAUUUCUCAAAAAGGUUUAAGUUCUUUGGCGUGGAUUCAUAUCAAG
This 4661-nucleotide long non-coding RNA is filed under the name Glycine max (soybean). Its description in RNAcentral is "long non-coding RNA (GMAX_LNC000902)". The record is from RNAcentral. Lineage: Eukaryota; Viridiplantae; Streptophyta; Magnoliopsida; Fabales; Fabaceae.